CCCGCUGAACUUAAGCAUAUCAAUAAGCGGAGGAAAAGAAACUAACAAGGAUUCCCCUAGUAACUGCGAGUGAAGCGGGAAAAGCUCAAAUUUAAAAUCUGGCGGUCUCGCGGCCGUCCGAGUUGUAAUCUGGAGAAGCGUCUAUCCGCGUCGGACCGUGUACAAGUCUUCUGGAAGGGAGCGUCGUAGAGGGUGAGAAUCCCGUCUUUGACACGGACAACCGAUGCUUUUGUGAUGCGCUCUCGAAGAGUCGAGUUGUUUGGGAAUGCAGCUCAAAAUGGGUGGUAAAUUCCAUCUAAAGCUAAAUAUUGGCGAGAGACCAAUAGCGAACAAGUACCGUGAGGGAAAGAUGAAAAGCACUUUGGAAAGAGAGUGAAACAGUACGUGAAAUUGUUGAAAGGGAAACGCUUGAAGUCAGUCGCGUCGGCCGAGACUCAGCCUUGCCUCGGCUUGGUGUAUUUCUUGGCCCGACGGGUCAGCAUCAAUUUUGCCCCUUGGAUAAUGGCUAGGGAAAUGUGACACCUUUAUAGGUGUGUUAUAGUCUCUCGUCGCAUGCAAGGGUCAGGAUUGAGGAACUCAGCAUGCACCUUCGGGUGUCGGGGCUUUUGUCCACGAUACAUGCUUAGGAUGUUGGCGUAAUGGCUUUAAACGACCCGUCUUGAAACACGG
Molecule: ribosomal RNA, 669 nt
Filed under: uncultured fungus
Lineage: Eukaryota; Fungi
Description: eukaryotic LSU rRNA
Rfam family: Eukaryotic large subunit ribosomal RNA
Source: RNAcentral